Molecule: long non-coding RNA, 2284 nt
Organism: Helianthus annuus (common sunflower)
Lineage: Eukaryota; Viridiplantae; Streptophyta; Magnoliopsida; Asterales; Asteraceae
Exons: 11
Source: RefSeq, a predicted model, not a curated record
GCUUCUUUCAUACGUUUCUUUCUCAUUCUCUCUCAUCUCUCAUCAUUCAAUUCCUUUAACCUCUCUCUCUCAAUCUUCAAUCUCCAUCUAAAUGAAACAAUUAAUUCAGUUUGGUGUAUUAGGGAAGUUUUGAAGACUCUCUCUCUCUCUCUCUCAAUCUUCAUUAGUUAGCCUUAUUUCGAAAACCCUAAAGGAAAAAUCAUCUGCCUCCAUAUCUCAAUCCAUCUUCAAUACCCAAUAGUCAACAAUCAACGGGUUUUCCCUGAUUUAAAGAUCUGUCGUUAUCGGUUAUUAGAUAUUUAGAUCCAAAUGGAUGCGAUUGAAGAACUGAAUCAGCUUGCGGACUCCAUGCGGCAAGUUGUGGCUCUGCUUAACGACGAAGAUGUUGAAGCUAUGAUGAAAUACUACCAGUGUUUAUAUUUGAAUAUUUUUUAUCUAUAUUGUGUAUCUUCAAGGUUCUCUUUGAUCCAAGUUAUUCUCAGUAGGUACUCCUAUGAAGAUUUAAUGAAUCUUGAAUUAGAGUUCUUGAAAACCUUAUGAACGAAGGGUUUUUUAGGGGGCGAAUGUUUGUAGUGGUGAUGUUACAAGUAGGCUGGAGUGAAUUAAGUAUUAUUGAAGUUGAAAGAUUGCUUCUCGGACUUUCGAGCAACUUUUGAAAAUUCGGCACACCGGAAAUUUCAGUUGGGGAUGGAUUAUUAGACCUCUAAUAGUGAUUACAGAUACUCAACAUCACUUGGUGACAGUCUGCAGAUUUAGUAGACAACCGUUAGUCGCCUUCAGCAAUGGGUUGUUUAACGCCGAGGGAGGCUAGGAAGAUCUUGUAGUUUGGAGGCACUAUUCGGAGCUAUUAUUUUCUCAUAAUGUCCCAAAGAUAACAGUGUUAUACUCUUUGUAGUCAAAUGUAUAAAUGGUUAUGCUAAUUGAUAUGAUUUAUUGUUUGAUCAUGUUAGGAUUGGAUGUGAUUUAGUGUUGCCUUUUGGCACACUUUUCGUGGGACAGGAGGUGGCCCAUUUGGUGCAGCGACUAAGAUGUGGCCAUGGGAAGAUGGUUCUAAUCCCUUAGCCAUGGAUAAGCGAAGAAGUUUGGAAGAGUGUGAGCAACAUCUGUUGAGCAAUCUAUACAUAGUAUGUCUUUUUUUGAGUUGUCUUAGAGCCAUCGCCAGCCAAGCUUUAAAGAGUGUGUUGUCGGAACCAAUUCCCACACAACCAUGAUUGACGGGUUAGGAGUAGCUGGUUGGGGAGUUGGAGGAAUUGAAGCAGAGCCGAUGAGCAUGGUUUUACCUGGUGUAGUUGGGUUCAAGUUGUUGUCUGGAAACUUGCAAAAUGGUGUUACAGCCACUGAUUUGGUGUUAACCGUGACUCAGAUGCUAAGAAAGCAUGGUGUUGUUGGCAAAUUCAUUGAGUUCUAUGGUGAGGGCAUGAGCGGACUGUCAUGGCCAUGAGCUGUAUGCACCUGAUUGACCGACUCCUCUUUUACUUAAAAUAAGUUUAUAUGGCAUCUCUAAGGUAAAUCACAAUCAAAUUGACCCAUUCAUUAGUACUAACUUUCCGUAUCAAUUGUUUUGUAUUUACCCACAUUAAGCUAUGUUGAUGAAAGAGUAUUUGUGGAUAUCAUAUGCUUCUAUAAGGAACGGCCACAAGGGCUUUCAUCUUCUGGUUUGUAGGAUAGACUCAAAUAUGCCACUAAGGAUGCUGAGAAAUCAAAUUAGAAAGCAUUUGAGUAGUCAAUAAAACGGUGGAGGGCUGAAGAAGACAACAACGAUGCUUUAAGUAAGGUUAUAUAUAACUCAAACUUUGCGUUUAUGAAGUUGAAAAAGUAGAUACGACAAGAUUAUUUACGACUGUAUCGAAUGUCUAUUGAUGAGGAGGUGCUUUAAAAGUAAUAUUGGCAAUUGAGUUGUCAUAAUAUUUGAGUGGUGAACUUGUCCAUUGUUUGUUCACGCACAGUUAAUGGAGUCUCUAAAGCUCAUUGUGAAGCAAUGACAACGUGCUAUCAGUAUGCUCAACUUUACUGCAGUAAAGUGGAAUGCAAUUCGGAUCAUUUUUUUUCACUGGGACAAGAGUUUUCGGAUAAGUUGAACUACAAAUAUCUUUAUUAAAAUAAAUCGUUGAUAAGGAUGGUAAACUUGCGAAUAAAACAUCAAAUAUUGUAUACAAAGAAAUAUAUAGGGAUUUGAAAACUGUAAUUGUAAUAGUUAUCAUUUUUCAUUAUUACAUAUAAUAUGUAAUUAUUUAUUGUAAGAAGUAUUAAAGAUUAUUUGUUAUAUCAUUUGUCACAUAAGCUU